Molecule: ribosomal RNA, 345 nt
Filed under: uncultured bacterium
Lineage: Bacteria
Description: bacterial SSU rRNA
Rfam family: Bacterial small subunit ribosomal RNA
Source: RNAcentral
CACGUACUAUCAGAGUUUGAUCCUGGCUCAGGAUGAACGCUAGCGACAGGCCUAACACAUGCAAGUCGAGGGGCAGCGAGGAUGUAGCAAUACAUUUGUCGGCGACCGGCGCACGGGUGAGUAACGCGUAUGCAACCUACCCGACACAGGGGGAUAACCCGGAGAAAUUCGGACUAAUACCGCAUAAAACAGGGGUCCCGCAUGGGAAUAUUUGUUAAAGAAUUAUCGGUGUCGGAUGGGCAUGCGUUCCAUUAGCUAGUUGGUGAGGUAACGGCUCACCAAGGCCACGAUGGAUAGGGGUUCUGAGAGGAAGGUCCCCCACAUUGGUACUGAGACACGGACCAA